ACGGAGGAAAAGAAACCAACAGGGAUUGCCCUAGUAACGGCGAGUGAACAGGCAAGAGCUCAGAUUUGAAAGGCACUUUUGUGCCGUUGUAUUCUGAAGUUAGGGUCCUGAGAAACGAUGCUUAAGUCUUCUGGAAAGGAGCGCCAUGGAGGGUGAUAGCCCCGUCUAGCAUUGACCUCAUAUAGGAUCUUAACAUGGAGUCGAGUUGUUUGGGAAUGCAGCUCAAAUGGGUGGUAUGCUCCAUCUAAAGCUAAAUAUCUGCGAGAGACCGAUAGUAAACAAGUACUGUGAGGGAAAGAUGAAAAGAACUUUGAAAAGAGAGUGAAAAAGUACGUGAAAUUGUUGAAAUGGAAGGGUAGGCCGCUAACCAUGUAGAGCCGUGUUUGGGGGGAAGAUAAAUGCUGUAGAAUGUAGCUCCUCGGAGUAUUAUAGAUGCAGUUCAUAUUCCCACCCGAGCGCGAGGAUCUCAGGUUCUACUAAAUGGUGGUCUACCACCCGUCUUGAACCACGGACCAAG
This 517-nucleotide ribosomal RNA is filed under the name Starmerella bacillaris. Its description in RNAcentral is "partial large subunit ribosomal RNA". It matches the Rfam family "Eukaryotic large subunit ribosomal RNA", at positions 50 to 670 of the family's 3401-position model. Lineage: Eukaryota; Fungi; Ascomycota; Dipodascomycetes; Dipodascales; Trichomonascaceae. The record is from RNAcentral.